UUAAAGACAGAUCUUCAACACCCCUGACGGCAGCAAACAUGUCUAUGAUAGUAACACGGGGUGAAGCGGCUGAGUGGAAGAAGAUAUAGAGUGCUGUAGAGAAAAGUAUUGGAGAACAAGAAGAGUGAUGCAGAAAAUGAAACGCAGGGACAUAAAGAAAAAGCACGCAGUUCUGGACAUAUUUGUGAAGACUUAGGCUGGGACUUCCUCUGCACACCAGCUCCCUCCCCUGCCCCCAGCUCUACAGACAUGACCGCCCUUCCCACCUCCCGGGUUUCCCACAGCCGAGUCUCUUCCUAUGUCCAAUCCUAUGGUUUUGUUUCCUUUGCUUUUUCUUUCCUGCCCACUUUGUAGUUAUAGGUAUUUGCUGAAGCUCAGACCUUGGCUCAUUUCCUUUUUCCUUCUUACUGAACUGAGAAGUUGGAAUGCUUCAAUCAACAGCACUGUGCCGACAGUCUCUCUCAUCCUGGAUCGCAGCCCCUAAGACAUGUCUUCCUGGAUAUUCCAGGGUUCUUUCACAUAUCUAACACAUGCUGCAUCUUCACUGCUGCAUCCCAAUUUUCCCAGACCCACAAUGUGAAAAUUUUUAUUAUUUGGUCCUGAAACCUUUUGCAUCAUCCUACCUAUCAAAUCUGCCACAUUCCUUGUUGACUUUUAAAAAGUUUUACUAGGGUACCAUGUCCAGUGUCUUGACCCCAGGCUGGUAACCAUCGCUUGCCCGCUACUCUGCACCAGCUUCUU
Molecule: non-coding RNA, 741 nt
Filed under: Pan troglodytes (chimpanzee)
Lineage: Eukaryota; Metazoa; Chordata; Mammalia; Primates; Hominidae
Source: RNAcentral